This 352-nucleotide ribosomal RNA is filed under the name uncultured bacterium. Its description in RNAcentral is "partial 16S ribosomal RNA". It matches the Rfam family "Bacterial small subunit ribosomal RNA", at positions 338 to 682 of the family's 1533-position model. The record is from RNAcentral.
CCUACGGGUGGCUGCAGUAGGGAAUCUUCCACAAUGGACGAAAGUCUGAUGGAGCAACGCCGCGUGAGUGAAGAAGGGUUUCGGCUCGUAAAGCUCGGUUGGUAGUGAAGAAAGAUAGAGGUAGUAACUGGCCUUUAGUUGACGGUAAGUACGGAGAAAGGCACGGCGAACUACGUGCCAGCAGCCGCGGUAAUACGUAGGUGGCAAGCGUUGUACGGAUUUAUUGGGCGUAAAGCGAGUGCAGGCGGUUCAAUAAGUCUGAGGUGAAAGCCUUCGGCGCAACCGGAGAAUUGCCUCCGAAACUGUUGCACUUGAGUGCAGACGUGGAGAGUGGACCUCCAUGUGUAGCGGU